RNAcentral lists this ribosomal RNA (434 nucleotides) under Streptococcus cristatus. RNAcentral's name for it is "bacterial SSU rRNA". It matches the Rfam family "Bacterial small subunit ribosomal RNA", at positions 73 to 494 of the family's 1533-position model. Lineage: Bacteria; Bacillati; Bacillota; Bacilli; Lactobacillales; Streptococcaceae. The record is from RNAcentral.
GAGGAGCUUGCUCUUCUUGGAUGAGUUGCGAACGGGUGAGUAACGCGUAGGUAACCUGCCUGGUAGCGGGGGAUAACUAUUGGAAACGAUAGCUAAUACCGCAUAAAAUUGAUUAUUGCAUGAUAGUCAAUUGAAAGGUGCAACUGCACCACUACCAGAUGGACCUGCGUUGUAUUAGCUAGUUGGUGGGGUAACGGCUCACCAAGGCGACGAUACAUAGCCGACCUGAGAGGGUGAUCGGCCACACUGGGACUGAGACACGGCCCAGACUCCUACGGGAGGCAGCAGUAGGGAAUCUUCGGCAAUGGACGGAAGUCUGACCGAGCAACGCCGCGUGAGUGAAGAAGGUUUUCGGAUCGUAAAGCUCUGUUGUAAGAGAAGAACGAGUGUGAGAGUGGAAAGUUCACACUGUGACGUAUCUACCAGAAAGGACG